This is a long non-coding RNA of Lynx canadensis (Canada lynx), 2574 nucleotides long. RefSeq lists it as uncharacterized. The transcript has 5 exons. NCBI's taxonomy places the organism in Eukaryota, Metazoa, Chordata, Mammalia, Carnivora, Felidae. The record is from RefSeq and is a predicted model, not a curated record.
UUCCAGGUACAGAGGGACUGAGUCCAGCACCCUCACCCACCUCCAUGCGGGCCACAGCUCCAGUGUGAACCCAAAGAAAGCCGCAGGGUUUGGUUUUGCCCGUGACUCUCGUGGGUAGGGGAACCCUGCUUUUGAACAAGGCCUGCCUCUCCAGUUCCCUCUGGCAGACAGGACAGGAUGGUGGUUAAGGACCCAGACUCCGGAGCCAGAGUGACUGGGGCAGGAUCCUGGCGAUACGCUGCAGGUUAGCUGUGUGGCUCUUAACCUCCACUUAACCUCUCUGGGUCUCCACUUCUCUCCCACAAAAUAGGGGAUGCCAACAGAACACGCCUCAGCGUUACAAAGAUUAAAGGAGAAAGGGAAGAGGGCGGAGAGGAGGGAAAUGGAGGGGGAGAGAGGGGAGACCCCCUACCGACCUGCAUGUAGGUGAUGGGCUCCAGCUGGGCCGCCCUGAGCUUCCGCAGCUGCUCCUUGUCCUUCCUCAGGUCUGUCUUGCAGCCAAUGAGCACCGUGGGGGUCCCACGGCAGAAAUGUGUGACCUCAGGGAACCACUGUGGAGGGAGAAGGCAGGCAUCAGGGCUGAGGCCAGAUCCGUGGUCCCCACCCCUGAGGUCUCUGCAGAAAUGUCACCUCCUCGGGGGCAGCUUUCCUGACUGCUCGGAGACAAAGCCUUCGACCCAGUCUAUCCCAUGUCCGACCAUGGCUUUAUUAUUCUUCUGAAUGGUCUCCUGACCUGUGAAACAACACACCUCGGCAGUGCUCACUCAUGACGAAGGCUCGUUGUGCUCUCUCAUGGCUUCAUUUGAAGCCCGUGGCCUACACUACCUCAUCACGAUGCCAACAAGGGUCCUAGCCCGGUGCGUUCACCUGUCAUUCCCAGAGAAACCGAGGCAGCUGAGAAACAGGAGCUCAGCCUGAAGCGCGGCUCCCACUCGCUCCCCUGCAAGUCACGGCGCGCCCCCCACCGGCAAGAUUCGAUGGUUUCCGCGGUACCUCGCUGGGCACCCCUGAUUGGCAGGCUCCGCCUUCUGGCAGGGCCCCUCUGAUUGGUCGACUCGGCCUCCCCCAUCUGACAGAGACUCUUUGAUUGGCGGACCGUUGCCCCAGCACCAGAGUUCAGGAGACUGGGUCUCCAGCUCUGGGAAAAGCCCCCUCGCUUUGCCCCGCCCCAGCUGUGUGGCCUGGGGCAAGUCGGCUUCCGACCUCAGUUUCCCCACUAGGUAGGUUGGUCGAGCCAGGAAAGAUGCUAGCACAGGGGGCGUGCCUGCCCACCUAGCCCAGCCCUACGGGCGCCAGUGUGGGUGCAGGUUGGGGGUGGGGAAGAGCGGUUCCCCUCACCUACCCCUCCCACUUCCCUAAGAGCGCAAGGUGGGUGUCUGGCGCCCUCUGGCGGGCAGUCAUCUUGGGGCGGACGGCUUGGAAGGCAGGUGAACUCCGGGAACAAUUUCCUUUGGGGGCUGGCCCCAAACCACGCGGGCGGAAGCCUCUUUCUAGCAGGGGCCAGAGGCGUGAACCGAGGAAGACACCGUCGAGGAAGGUAUGGGGAAAGCUAGGACAGAUCUAGUUGUGAGAAGCUGGGCCCAUUGAUAACUUCCACCCCACCCUUAAAUUUGAUUUGAUUAAGCGCUCUCCAGCCAUUAGCCACAUAUCUUCAGGCCACAAGCCAGGCAGUCUCAUCAAUCCUCCCACGCCCCUUGAUUAAAACAACUAUUUAUUAAGCACUAUGUGCAGGAUAACACGGGGGCUGCUGGCUGAGACCACCCAACCCUUCCCUCCCUGCAACAGUCUUUCGCAAAAGCCAGGCUAGUGGUCAGGAGAGGCAGGAGACCCCUGGGGCCUGUGUGCGGCAAGCAGGCAUUGAAGCAUGGCUAAGUGAGGGAGAGGGGUCCAACCAGCUGGGGUUGGAUCUCUGGUAGGUUCCUCAGAGAGGGCUAGGCAGGACUCAGGAUCUUCUUGCCCCACCCCCACCGCAUCCCCGGGAAGAUUCUGAAUUUCCAAGUUCUCAGUAAAGACCAAGUAAAUUUUACUUCAGGGAGGAAAUUGCCAACCUGGCAAUUUUGUUAAGUGCCCCGUCCGUUCUCAGAGGAUGCAAGGCAGGUCUGACCACCAGAGGGGAGCAGCGACCGCUCGUGAGAGCUUACAAAAAAGCCUAUAGCUGGGAAAAAGAGGUAAGGCCCCCCCCUAGUUCCACGCUAUUAUGUGAAAGUCCCAAGCUUUAGGCAGCCGGUCAGAGAGCCACCUGCUAGGUCAAGCACCGCCCCCCCCCCCCACACACACAAAUUUACAGCAACUCAUUCAUUCCUUUUUUACCACGCAAGUUUAUUGAGAGGCAAUUGUGUUCCUGCCUGGAGGGAGCUGUCUUAGGGGAAGCAGUCUCUUUAAGGGGUCUGGGAGAUGUCAACGCUUUAGAGACCAGACCCCUGUAGGGCUCAGCGAAGGCUGAGCCUAAGCUUGGCAGUGUUGGGAGGGCAGACCAACGGGAGCAAGAUGGGUACCCUGGACAAAUGAACGGUGGCUGGAAAAUCCCAUCAGAUUCUGCAGUGCCUGGGGAGUGAGGAGGGAGGCCAGACAUGG